CAUUUUUUAUGUUUUCUGUAAAUUUCAAACCAUUUUGUUUGACCCAAAUCCCUAACCCGUAACCCCAAAGUCCCACCCCCCUCAUCACUCUCACACUCUCUCUCUCUCUCUCUCUCUCUCACUCCGACGCCGCGCACGUUUCUCUCUCCGGCAGUAUUUCACAAGGUAUCUGGUUUGACUGUCGUUUUCACAGUGCGGGGCAGCUCUCCACAUGCCUCCCCCUUAUUCAAUUGUUAUUCAGGUAAUAUGAGCUUAUACAUUGGCAUAAGAACCCUGAAGAUCUAAAGAACAGGCAUUUCUAAUAUCCUUACAAAUAGAUGUAGGUUAUUUCUUUCUAAUAUCCUUUCUGCUGGGGAUCGAUCAGAAA
Non-coding RNA from Corylus avellana, 367 nucleotides. The record is from RefSeq and is a predicted model, not a curated record. Lineage: Eukaryota; Viridiplantae; Streptophyta; Magnoliopsida; Fagales; Betulaceae.